GUGGCAUCUGGAAUUUCUUCAGGUAGAAUAUAACUACUCCAAGUCUUUUCCCUUCAUUUUCUUAAAAAUUAACUGCUACCCACCAACUAGAAUACUGACUGGUUAUAAAAGGAAGAACUUAUAUUGAAGUAACUCAAAAUUCAAUGGUGGGUAGUCUAAUUUCCUUAGUCUAGGUGGGGAGGUUGGAGUGGCUUAUGCACUCCAUCAUUGAAAAUAAAUAAAUAAAUAAAACGAAAGGAUAGUGGGACGAAGCAGACAUCGACAAAGGAGUUUAAGAGAGAGGUGUUUUGGAAACAUCGAAAAU
RNAcentral lists this unclassified non-coding RNA (304 nucleotides) under Hevea brasiliensis (rubber tree). Lineage: Eukaryota; Viridiplantae; Streptophyta; Magnoliopsida; Malpighiales; Euphorbiaceae. The record is from RNAcentral.